AUCUACGGCCACACACCCUGAACACGCCCGAUCUCAUCUGAGCUCGGAAGCUAAGCAGGGUUGGGCUUGGUUAGUACUUGGAUGGGAGACCCAAGGAAGAGAGGAAA
Molecule: ribosomal RNA, 107 nt
Filed under: Oryctolagus cuniculus (rabbit)
Lineage: Eukaryota; Metazoa; Chordata; Mammalia; Lagomorpha; Leporidae
Source: RNAcentral